GGGGCUGACUGGUUUUGACAGCGGGCAGAGUCUUGUAGUAAGCAUGCAGAGCGUUGUGUGUGGGCUCUUAAAUCGGAACACUCGAAUUAUAAAUGGCAAUAAUAGCUAUCAGCUCGCUGCGUAGUUUUACAGAGUAAAACGGCUUAAUUCGACGGCUCAAGGAAGUUGUCGGACGAGUAUCCUGCGGGCGGCCUUGCCUUUUGGCUGUCGGCGUAUAGGGUAUCAUCUUAAAAGGAUAGCCGGUGCGAUGCCUGUAACCAUCGGUGAAAUUUUACGGGCUAAGAGGUGGCGCUGGCCUGUUUCCGGCCUUAGCUGCUUCCGACAAUCAAACGGAAACUAAGCAUGUAGAAAGCUGCCGGGUUCCCUGUUUGGACGAGAGUUCGAUUCUCUCCAGCUCCACA
Molecule: transfer-messenger RNA, 401 nt
Filed under: chicken gut metagenome
Rfam family: transfer-messenger RNA
About the family: Bacterial tmRNA, also known as 10Sa RNA or SsrA, is named for its dual tRNA and mRNA-like properties. Its role is to liberate the mRNA from a stalled ribosome. To accomplish this part of the tmRNA is used as a reading frame that ends in a translation stop signal.
Source: RNAcentral